UGAGUCCGUUGUACACUGAUGACUUGAGGU
This 30-nucleotide non-coding RNA is filed under the name Mus musculus (house mouse). Lineage: Eukaryota; Metazoa; Chordata; Mammalia; Rodentia; Muridae. The record is from RNAcentral.